Molecule: ribosomal RNA, 439 nt
Filed under: uncultured bacterium
Lineage: Bacteria
Description: partial 16S ribosomal RNA
Rfam family: Bacterial small subunit ribosomal RNA
Source: RNAcentral
CCUACGGGUGGCAGCAGUGGGGAAUAUUGCACAAUGGGCGAAAGCCUGAUGCAGCAACGCCGCGUGAGAGAUGAAGGCCUUCGGGUCGUAAAGCUCUGUCCUCAAGGAAGAGAAUGACGGUACUUGAGGAGGAAGCCCCGGCUAACUACGUGCCAGCAGCCGCGGUAAUACGUAGGGGGCUAGCGUUAUCCGGAAUUACUGGGCGUAAAGGGUGCGUAGGUGGUUUCUUAAGUCAGAGGUAAAAGGCUACGGCUCAACCGUAGUAAGCCUUUGAAACUGGGGAACUUGAGUGCAGGAGAGGAGAGUGGAAUUCCUAGUGUAGCGGUGAAAUGCGUAGAUAUUAGGAGGAACACCAGUGGCGAAGGCGACUUUCUGGACUGUACCUGACGCUGAGGCGCGAAAGCGUGGGUAGCGAACGGGAUUAGAUACCCUGGUAGUC